Molecule: non-coding RNA, 29 nt
Filed under: Rattus norvegicus (Norway rat)
Lineage: Eukaryota; Metazoa; Chordata; Mammalia; Rodentia; Muridae
Source: RNAcentral
UGCUUUGCUAAGCAAGGUCAUGAUCCUUA